RNAcentral lists this ribosomal RNA (278 nucleotides) under uncultured Desulfocapsa sp. RNAcentral describes it as "partial 16S ribosomal RNA". It matches the Rfam family "Bacterial small subunit ribosomal RNA", at positions 1105 to 1382 of the family's 1533-position model. Lineage: Bacteria; Pseudomonadati; Thermodesulfobacteriota; Desulfobulbia; Desulfobulbales; Desulfocapsaceae. The record is from RNAcentral.
UUGUCUUAGUUGCCAUCAUUAAGUUGGGCACUCUAAAGAGACUGCCGGUGUCAAAACCCGGAGGAAAGGUGGGGAUGACGUCAAGUCCUCAUGGCCUUUAUGACCAGGGCUACACACGUACUACAAUGGCAGGUACAAAGGGCAGCCACUUAGCGAUAAGGAGCGAAUCCCGUAAAACCUGUCUCAGUCCGGAUUGGAGUCUGCAACUCGACUCCAUGAAGUUGGAAUCGCUAGUAAUCGUAGAUCAGCACGCUACGGUGAAUACGUUCCCGGGCCUU